ACGGGUGAGUAACACGUGGGCAACCUGCCCUUGAGACUGGGAUAACUUCGGGAAACCGGAGCUAAUACCGGAUAAUAUAAGGAACCUCCUGGUUCCUUGUUGAAAGAUGGUUUCGGCUAUCACUUAAGGAUGGGCCCGCGGCGCAUUAGCUAGUUGGUGAGGUAACGGCUCACCAAGGCGACGAUGCGUAGCCGACCUGAGAGGGUGAUCGGCCACACUGGGACUGAGACACGGCCCAGACUCCUACGGGAGGCAGCAGUAGGGAAUCUUCCACAAUGGACGAAAGUCUGAUGGAGCAACGCCGCGUGAGUGAUGAAGGCCUUCGGGUCGUAAAGCUCUGUUGUUAGGGAAGAACAAGUGCGAGAGUAACUGCUCGUACCUUGACGGUACCUAACCAGAAAGCCACGGCUAACUACGUGCCAGCAGCCGCGGUAAUACGUAGGUGGCAAGCGUUAUCCGGAAUUAUUGGGCGUAAAGCGCGCGCAGGUGGUUUCUUAAGUCUGAUGUGAAAGCCCACGGCUCAACCGUGGAGGGUCAUUGGAAACUGGGGAACUUGAGUGCAGAAGAGGAAAGUGGAAUUCC
RNAcentral lists this ribosomal RNA (582 nucleotides) under uncultured bacterium. Its description in RNAcentral is "bacterial SSU rRNA". It matches the Rfam family "Bacterial small subunit ribosomal RNA", at positions 102 to 670 of the family's 1533-position model. The record is from RNAcentral.